Molecule: non-coding RNA, 437 nt
Organism: Paramuricea clavata
Lineage: Eukaryota; Metazoa; Cnidaria; Anthozoa; Malacalcyonacea; Plexauridae
Source: the annotation of a GenBank genome assembly
CCACAACUUUGCAAAACACUACGAAAACGUAAUAUUAAAGAAUCUAGUAUUGAAGUUCUUACUCCAGAUUGCUCCAGAUAGUAUAUAGCUCACUGGCCCAACUGGAAACGAGGUGAACACCAAAAUGGCGGCUUCAUGAUUCUGAUUCAUGAAGGUAUAUUACAAAUUUACAAUUUUUCAAUAUUACAUGUAAACAUGGCACGUUUUAAAACGAAAAGCAUAGAUAAAUCUACGGAACUAAAUAAAAAGAUAGAUAUGUCACUCGGUAAGUAGUAAGUACUGUCUUAAUAUAACAUAAAUCUGACAGACAUUCCAAGUUUAGCACUGGAGGUUAUUAACAUUUAUAGGACUACAAGUUUAGCUAGUACGUACUUUAGUAGUUCGUCGAUCAGUGUGUUGAAAAUUAUCUAGUUCUUCUGGGUAAAAUAGUAAAAAUU